GGCAGAUUUGGAGCCGGCUGUCGCUUGAUUUCGUUGAUUUUAUAUCUUUGCUGAUGCGAUUUGACAGCCUAUUGCAGAUCUGCUUUGCCAGGGGAUUUCGGCUUUGUAGAAGAUAGCGUUUGAUUUGCUUCUUGGCCUCAAUCAACUGGAGAGUCUGGCUUUUGACUCGAAACCUAGAUCUGGUUAUCUUGCGUGGACACUGCGCAUUGGCAAAGUUUGCAGCAUCUUGGACGUUUUUGACAAGAAUAUCAACAUCAUCUGGACUGCUGAUUUCAGUGUUGAAAGAUGGCCUUUUGCUUUGCUGAUGAUCGGCUUCUCAACCAGCUGGACUUGCAAUGGGAGGUGAUCCGAGUUUAGCUCGAAAGAGUCAGUGAUGGCCAGCAAAUCUCGCCUGAUGCCUUUGAAAAGCGCAAAGUCUAUGGCAGAUGGAGUUUGGCGUGAGUUGAAAGGGAUCUGGCGUUUCCCCACCAUUGGCUCUUUGCGUUCCAGUCACCACCUACAAGAUACGUGUCGCCCAGCAAAUUCAGAAGAUUGCUGAAGUCUUGCGCAGUCCAGCUUACUUGCGGUGGGCAGUAAAUGGCCACAAUAUUUACGUGCUUGCCGUUUUGUAAGCUGACUGAUACUUCAACACUUUGGUGCGAGUCCAAGGAUGAGCAGCGCAUAGCGUAAUGGCAGAUGUUUUGUUUGAUUAUAAAAGCUGCGCCACCUCUGCGCCUAUUUGUAGGGUGGUUUGCCAAAUAAAUUAUGUAUCCGUCAAUUACAAUGUUGUCCUUGUCCGUCAGAUGGGUUUCAGAUAUUAGCAUAAUGUCUAUAUUAUGCUUAAUAACAUAUUGCUUUACUUCAAUAAGCUUAUUUGUAAUACCAGCAGCAUUCCAUAUGGAGAUGUUAAUGUUGUUGGUACUAUUAGAUACAGCAGUCUGCAGUGUGCAGCUGCGUCUAUUAGCAAUAUGUGCAUCAGAUACAUUAUUAGACAUUUAUGUGCUCACUUGGACCAACUCUAGCUAAUAGGCAAGCAGUCAAUGUGGUCAUCAUCUCUAUAAGUUUGUCAAUUUUGGCCUCUAAUCUAGAGUUAACUUGUAAUGGCAUAGCUGGCAUGUUAGCAUAUCUAGGCUGCUCAAAAUUAAGAGGAAAGCCCACCCCAUUACUAUGGUGUGUCACCCCAGAUACAAUAGGAGGGGGCCUACGGCGAGUACUUAAGCUGCGGCUUCUGUUUGGCUGCGCUGGCCGCUGAGCGCUUGCUUGCCUAGACAAUCUGGCUUGUUGUUGUUGUUGCUGUUGUUGUUGGGCACGUUUAGUGAUAUUCUGCCUUGAUUGGCGUUGCUGGCUAUUAUUGGCUGCCGGCGCCGCUGGCUGCUUAAAUUGGAGACCCGCCCGGAGGGCAGAUGCGUAGCUGGGCCCAGCAUUAGCAGUUUGAGGUCGUGGCUGAGGGGGGGCUUGCUGAAAAAGAUUUGGCAAGUUUGUUCUACUGCCCUGAACAGUUGUAGUGGGAGCUGGCUUUGUUAAAGUCCUUAUAAUCUGGCUGAGCUGUGCCGCCGAUUCGGGCUCUCGCUUCUUGCAGGCCUCUUUGUAGGAGGGGCAUCCCUUGUAACUCGCAGCGUGUGGGCCCGAGCAGUUGGCGCAUUUU
This 1624-nucleotide small RNA is filed under the name Drosophila mojavensis. RNAcentral describes it as "GI25656". The record is from RNAcentral. Lineage: Eukaryota; Metazoa; Arthropoda; Insecta; Diptera; Drosophilidae.